AAUUGCAGAUAGAGAUAUGCUGUACACUUGUGAAACCGAAUUAACGUUUAAGCGAUAUGUGCUAUCGCCGGACACAAGGGCCGCCUUUUUAGGCGGUUUUUUAU
This 104-nucleotide small RNA is filed under the name human gut metagenome. Its description in RNAcentral is "DUF3800-I RNA". It matches the Rfam family "DUF3800-I RNA". From Rfam's summary of the family: Actinobacteria, Firmicutes, Fusobacteria, Proteobacteria (1 example), Tenericutes (2 examples). Terminator (Clostridia) The record is from RNAcentral.